UACGAAGGGAGCUAGCGUUGUUCGGAAUCACUGGGCGUAAAGCGCACGUAGGCGGAUUUGCCAGUCAGGGGUGAAAUCCUGGAGCUCAACUCCAGAACUGCCUUUGAUACUGGGAAGCUUGAGUCCGGGAGAGGUGAGUGGAACUCCGAGUGUAGAGGUGAAAUUCGUAGAUAUUCGGAAGAACACCAGUGGCGAAGGCGGCUCACUGGCCCGGUACUGACGCUGAGGUGCGAAAGCGUGGGGAGCAAACAGG
This 253-nucleotide ribosomal RNA is filed under the name uncultured bacterium. RNAcentral describes it as "partial 16S ribosomal RNA". It matches the Rfam family "Bacterial small subunit ribosomal RNA", at positions 524 to 776 of the family's 1533-position model. The record is from RNAcentral.